AGUCAAGUGAAUAAGCGCAUACGGCGGAUGCCUUGGCGACAAGAGGCGAUGAAGGACGUAACAGGCUGCGAUAAGCCUCGGGGAGCUGCCAAAUAAGCUUUGAUCCGAGGAUGUCCGAAUGGGGAAACCCAAUCACUUUUAGUGAUUAUCAUGCACUGAAUACAUAGGUGUAUGAGGCGAACCCGGGGAACUGAAACAUCUAAGUACCCGGAGGAAAAGAAAUCAACCGAGAUUCCGUUAGUAGCGGCGAGCGAACGCGGACCAGCCCUUAAGCUUCUUUGGUUUUAGUGGAACAGUCUGGAAAGUCUGGCGAUAGUGGGUGAUAGCCCCGUACACGAAAAGGCCAUUGAAGUGAAAUCGAGUAAGGCGGGACACGUGUUAUCCUGUCUGAAUAUGGGGGGACCAUCCUCCAAGGCUAAAUACUCCUUGUCGACCGAUAGUGAACCAGUACCGUGAGGGAAAGGCGAAAAGAACCCCGGAGAGGGGAGUGAAAUAGAACCUGAAACCGUAUGCGUACAAGCAGUGGGAGCACCUUCGUGGUGUGACUGCGUACCUUUUGUAUAAUGGGUCAGCGACUUACUUUCAGUAGCAAGCUUAACCGUGUAGGGGAGGCGUAGGGAAACCGAGUCUUAAUAGGGCGUUUAGUUGCUGGGAGUAGACCCGAAACCGGGCGAUCUAUCCAUGGCCAGGGUGAAGGUGGGGUAAUGCCCACUGGAGGCCCGAACCCACUUAUGUUGAAAAAUGAGGGGAUGAGCUGUGGAUCGGAGUGAAAGGCUAAUCAAGCCCGGAGAUAGCUGGUUCUCCUCGAAAGCUAUUUAGGUAGCGCCUCAUGUAUCACCUGCGGGGGUAGAGCACUGUUUCGGCUAGGGGGCCAUCCCGGCUUACCAACCCGAUGCAAACUCCGAAUACCGUAGAGUGCAAUCAUGGGAGACACACGGCGGGUGCUAACGUCCGUCGUGGAGAGGGAAACAACCCAGACCGCCAGCUAAGGUCCCAAAAUCACAGUUAAGUGGGAAACGAUGUGGGAAGGCACAGACAGCCAGGAGGUUGGCUUAGAAGCAGCCACCCUUUAAAGAAAGCGUAAUAGCUCACUGGUCAAGUCGGCCUGCGCGGAAGAUUUAACGGGGCUCAAACUGUGUACCGAAGCUGCGGAUGCGUGUUUACACGCAUGGUAGAGGAGCGUUCUGUAAGCCUGUGAAGGUGGAUUGAGAAGUCUGCUGGAGGUAUCAGAAGUGCGAAUGCUGACAUGAGUAACGAUAAUGCGGGUGAAAAACCCGCACGCCGAAAGCCCAAGGUUUCCUGCGCAACGCUAAUCGGCGCAGGGUGAGUCGGCCCCUAAGGUGAGGUCGAAAGACGUAAUCGAUGGGAAACAGGUUAAUAUUCCUGUACUUCGUAUAAGUGCGAUGGGAUGACGGAGAAGGCUAGGUCAGCCGGGUGUUGGUUUACCCGGUUUAAGCAAGUAGGGAGUAUCCUUAGGCAAAUCCGGGGAUACAUAUUCCGAGAUGCGAUGACGAGCACCCUUUUAAGGGAGCGAAGUGAUUGAUGCCAUGCUUCCAGGAAAAGUCUCUAAGCUUCAGCUUAUACGAAACCGUACCCCAAACCGACACAGGUGGGCAGGGUGAGAAUCCUAAGGCGCUUGAGAGAACUCGGGUGAAGGAACUAGGCAAAAUGGUACCGUAACUUCGGGAGAAGGUACGCCCCUGGUACGUGAAGAGACUUGCUCUCGGAGCGGAAGGGGGUUGCAGUGACCAGGUGGCUGCGACUGUUUAUUAAAAACACAGCACUCUGCAAAAUCGUAAGAUGACGUAUAGGGUGUGACGCCUGCCCGGUGCCGGAAGGUUAAUUGAUGGGGUUAGUCUUCGGACGAAGCUCUUGAUCGAAGCCCCGGUAAACGGCGGCCGUAACUAUAACGGUCCUAAGGUAGCGAAAUUCCUUGUCGGGUAAGUUCCGACCUGCACGAAUGGCGUAACGAUGGCCACACUGUCUCCACCCGAGACUCAGUGAAAUUGAAUUCGCUGUUAAGAUGCAGCGUUCCCGCGGCUAGACGGAAAGACCCCGUGAACCUUUACUAUAGCUUUACACUGGACUUUGAGUAUGUUUGUGUAGGAUAGGUGGGAGGCUUUGAAACCAGGACGCCAGUUCUGGUGGAGCCAACCUUGAAAUACCACCCUGACAUGCUUGAGGUUCUAACCUAGGCCCGUUAUCCGGGUCGGGGACAGUGUAUGGUGGGUAGUUUGACUGGGGCGGUCUCCUCCCAAAGAGUAACGGAGGAGCACGAAGGUACCCUAAUCCUGGUCGGAAAUCAGGAGUUUAGUGCAAAGGCAUAAGGGUGCUUGACUGCGAGUCAGACACGACGAGCAGGUACGAAAGUAGGUCUUAGUGAUCCGGUGGUUCUGUAUGGAAGGGCCAUCGCUCAACGGAUAAAAGGUACUCCGGGGAUAACAGGCUGAUUCCUCCCAAGAGUUCAUAUCGACGGGGGAGUUUGGCACCUCGAUGUCGGCUCAUCACAUCCUGGGGCUGUAGUCGGUCCCAAGGGUAUGGCUGUUCGCCAUUUAAAGUGGUACGCGAGCUGGGUUUAGAACGUCGUGAGACAGUUCGGUCCCUAUCUGCCGUGGGCGUUAGAAACUUGAAAGGAGCUGCUCCUAGUACGAGAGGACCGGAGUGGACGUACCUCUGGUGUUCCGGUUGUCAUGCCAAUGGCAUUGCCGGGUAGCUAUGUACGGAAGGGAUAACCGCUGAAAGCAUCUAAGCGGGAAGCCCCCCUUAAGAUUAGGUUUCUCUGGGACUUCGAGUCCCCUAAAGGGCCGUUGGAGACUACAACGUUGAUAGGCUGGGUGUGGAAGCGCAGCAAUGUGUGAAGCUAACCAGUACUAAUUGCCCGUGAGGCUUGACUAU
Molecule: ribosomal RNA, 2895 nt
Filed under: Tenderia electrophaga (SeqCode)
Lineage: Bacteria; Pseudomonadati; Pseudomonadota; Gammaproteobacteria; Tenderiales (SeqCode); Tenderiaceae (SeqCode)
Description: Candidatus Tenderia electrophaga Bacterial large subunit ribosomal RNA
Rfam family: Bacterial large subunit ribosomal RNA
Source: Rfam by way of RNAcentral